RNAcentral lists this unclassified non-coding RNA (391 nucleotides) under Hevea brasiliensis (rubber tree). The record is from RNAcentral. Lineage: Eukaryota; Viridiplantae; Streptophyta; Magnoliopsida; Malpighiales; Euphorbiaceae.
GAUCAUAUAAAAUCAUAUGCUAAAGCAAAGAUAACCAAGCAUACCUAGAGCCAUGGUGGUUAGAAAAAGUGUCAGAUCUGCUGUUUCUUGGUAGCUAUCAUUGGUGUCUAUGAAACAUAUUCAGAAGUGGUUUCCUAAGUGUUUAAAAAGCUUGUCACUCACAUUGGGAGAUAGCAGCUUCGAUGAAAGACACUCAGGACAUCUCUCAUAUUUCUAAGCAUUUAGCAUCAAUCUCAUUGGUGGAGAUGAAAAUAACGUGGCAGAUUGGGCAGCCGGAAUGGCUAGAAUUGGUGCCCUUCCCCCAAUCUUAGACAAUCUAAUGAUAAUGCUCAAUAACAUAUCUUGAAUUCUUGAUGCUUCUUGCUUCUUUGUUGUUGGAAUGUACUUUAAA